Molecule: long non-coding RNA, 323 nt
Organism: Helianthus annuus (common sunflower)
Lineage: Eukaryota; Viridiplantae; Streptophyta; Magnoliopsida; Asterales; Asteraceae
Exons: 2
Source: RefSeq, a predicted model, not a curated record
UCAUCAUGCACCGACUCGAUUUCAACUCCUUCAUCUUCAAUCUGGUGUUAAGUUGGAGAAACUUAACAAAGCAAAGAAGAACCCCCUUAACAGUGGUGGUGGCAACAGAUCUGCUGGUGGUGGAGAAAUUGAACAAAUCAAAGUAGACCCCCCUUAACAGCGACAUCACCAUGCCAUACCAAAUGAGUUGCAGGUUUUGAGAGUAUGAAAUAUGGAAGAAGAAAUUGGGUGUGUUGUUGGUAGUGAUUUUAGGGUUUGGUUUAGUAAAAAUGGGUUUUGUAUUAGAGAUUAGAUCCAGAUGAUGUUCAUAAGAUUUGGGUUCA